Molecule: long non-coding RNA, 1052 nt
Filed under: Homo sapiens (human)
Lineage: Eukaryota; Metazoa; Chordata; Mammalia; Primates; Hominidae
Description: non-protein coding lnc-LYZL1-15:29
Source: RNAcentral
AGUAAUUACGCUGUUCCUGCUGACAAUGUCAGUGAUGAGUAUUUCCUGCACCUACAAUGUGAACACAGGCCAGGCACCUGCUAAACGUCAUAUAUACCUGAUUAUAAAGUCCUGUGAGCUGAGUACUAUAAUCCCUAUUUUCCAGGUGAGAAAACCAAGGCUCAGACAGAGUAACUUUACCCAGCCCACACAGCUGAUCCAUCUUCGGUUGUGAAUCCGGCCCGGAAUGCAGCCACCCCUUAGAGCAACCCCCCUUGCUGCUCGUGCCCUGCUGUGCUACUGCCUCAGUCACUUCCUGCUUGGUCAAGACCACAGCUGCUGAUGUCACAGCUGAGGCACAUCAGAAAGGCUGCCUGAUUCAAAGAAAGCUGCCGGAUAAAUCAUAGAGCACAGACACUUCUACCUCAUGCUCUUAUGGGACUUUAGGAACCAAACAUAAGCACCUAUGGAAAAUGCACGGCGGUCUUGAAAGGCUGUGGUCUUUAUCAGAAAAUAUCUGAAUGACUGUUUGUUAUGUCAGUCCUACUCUGCAGGCUUGCUAAGAUGAUGAUUGAAAGGGCUCUUGGUUUCUGCUUUGGAAUCUGGCAUUUAUGUUUUGAAGCGUUGUGAGCAAGCGAUGUGGCAGAUUGCAGGGUGAGGGGGACAAACCUGGGCCAGGAGCCAGGGGUUUCUCUACCCCCUUCCCUGACUUACAGCUGGAACUGGGCUCAGUGGUUUCAGCCUCAUUUGCUAAGAAGGUCUGGGUAUGUAAUCCUGGCUGCAUCUUAAAAUCCCUAGGAGCUUUUAAGACAUAUUGACACAUAAGCUCUAACUCACAUGAAACGAAAACACAUCUCUGGGGCUGGGCUGAGCAAAUGCAUUUUUUAAAAGGCCCCUCAGGUGAUUCUGUCUCAGAGAUGUUGAAAACCAGUGGGUUAGGAGCUCAGUCAUCCACUUUCAGAUCUGUGAUUAUGCCACUAUUAAAUACAGUUGGCUAUCACAUAGAUUUUAUGCUUUAGCUUGUUCUUUUUUCCUUUGCUAUACCAAAUAAAAUCUUCUGAGCUGUAGUUCCA